UGGGGAAUUUGGACAAUGGGCGAAAGCCUGAUCCAGCAAUGCCGCGUGUGUGAAGAAGGCCUUCGGGUUGUAAAGCACUUUUGUCCGGAAAGAAAUCCUUGGCUCUAAUACAGUCGGGGGAUGACGGUACCGGAAGAAUAAGCACCGGCUAACUACGUGCCAGCAGCCGCGGUAAUACGUAGGGUGCAAGCGUUAAUCGGAAUUACUGGGCGUAAAGCGUGCGCAGGCGGUUUGCUAAGACCGAUGUGAAAUCCCCGGGGCUCAACCUGGGAACUGCAUUGGUGACUGGCAGGCUAGAGUAUGGCAGAGGGGGGUAGAAUUCCACGUGUAGCAGUGAAAUGCGUAGAGAUGUGGAGGAAUACCGAUGGCGAAGGCAGCCCCCUGGGCCAAUACUGACGCUCAUGCACGAAAGCGUGGGGAGCAAACAGGAUUAGAUACCCUGGUAGUCCACGCCCUAAACGAUGUCAACUAGUUGUUGGGGACUUCAUUUUCCUUAGUAACGUAGCUAACGCGUGAAGUUGACCGCCUGGGGAGUACGGUCG
RNAcentral lists this ribosomal RNA (542 nucleotides) under uncultured bacterium. RNAcentral describes it as "partial 16S ribosomal RNA". It matches the Rfam family "Bacterial small subunit ribosomal RNA", at positions 356 to 888 of the family's 1533-position model. The record is from RNAcentral.